GAUGAACGCUGGCGGCGUGCCUAAUACAUGCAAGUCGAGCGAACGGACGAGAAGCUUGCUUCUCUGAUGUUAGCGGCGGACGGGUGAGUAACACGUGGAUAACCUACCUAUAAGACUGGGAUAACUUCGGGAAACCGUAGCUAAUACCGGAUAAUAUUUUGAACCGCAUGGUUCAAAAGUGAAAGACGGUCUUGCUGUCACUUAUAGAUGGAUCCGCGCUGCAUUAGCUAGUUGGUAAGGUAACGGCUUACCAAGGCAACGAUGCAUAGCCGACCUGAGAGGGUGAUCGGCCACACUGGAACUGAGACACGGUACUGACUCCGACGGGAGGCAGCAGUAGGGAAUCUUCCGCAAUGGGCGAAAGCCUGACGGAGCAACGCCGCGUGAGUGAUGAAGGUCUUCGGAUCGUAAAACUCUGUUAUUAGGGAAGAACAUAUGUGUAAGUAACUGUGCACAUCUUGACGGUACCUAAACAGAAAGCCACGGCUAACUACGUG
RNAcentral lists this ribosomal RNA (497 nucleotides) under uncultured bacterium. RNAcentral describes it as "partial 16S ribosomal RNA". It matches the Rfam family "Bacterial small subunit ribosomal RNA", at positions 28 to 507 of the family's 1533-position model. The record is from RNAcentral.